Molecule: ribosomal RNA, 253 nt
Filed under: uncultured bacterium
Lineage: Bacteria
Description: partial 16S ribosomal RNA
Rfam family: Bacterial small subunit ribosomal RNA
Source: RNAcentral
UACGAAGGGGGCUAGCGUUGUUCGGAAUUACUGGGCGUAAAGCGCACGUAGGCGGAUAUUUAAGUCAGGGGUGAAAUCCCAGAGCUCAACUCUGGAACUGCCUUCGAUACUGGGUAUCUUGAGUAUGGAAGAGGUGAGUGGAAUUCCGAGUGUAGAGGUGAAAUUCGUAGAUAUUCGGAGGAACACCAGUGGCGAAGGCGGCUCACUGGUCCAUUACUGACGCUGAGGUGCGAAAGCGUGGGGAGCAAACAGG